GCUUUUAUAAAUUCGUGAAAUUAAGAUUUAAGGUUCCAAAACGAAUUGCUAGGGUCACGCUAAGAGAGACUUUUCGGUGAAAACGCAUACCUAAAUUAUUUUUUAUCUGAUAGUCUAUUGUAUAAGCUUUCAAAAUCCGUUUUAAUUUUUAAUCUAUCUUUAGCGGUUCUAGAGAUAUACAAAUUUUUUCCGCGUUUUCCACUUCCGUGUUUUAGGCCCUGAGGGCUCCCCUUUUUAUACCUGUUACCUGUUACCUGCUACCUAGUCUUUAUCUUCCUCCUCUAGCAGGAGCUUCGCUUCUAAAGCGUACUUCUUAUUUGCACCCUAACCCUUACACACGGGGCACUCUGUCUCAUAAAAUCAGUUAUGCAAUAUUGUACAUGCUCGUAUACGUAGUUAUUAAUAACAGUAACAUAUAUAGAGCACCUUAAUAACGUUGUAUAUUUAGGUUAAUUAAAGGAUUUCAGAUCAUGAGCAAAGCAAUGCAAAAUAACAUUUAGGUCCAUAUCUCUUAACAGUUUCAGCAUUUCACUUUUAAAACAUUUGUGUCAAAUAGAAAAGGGCAUAACCCCAAUUCAUGCAUAAGUAAUUUGACAUAUCAAAUUUUCUUUUUUGUUUUAUCAAAUUAAUAAAUUGUUAUUUCAAAUAAUUAUAAUCUGUUAUAUCAAAUUGAUAAUC
RNAcentral lists this long non-coding RNA (678 nucleotides) under Mytilus galloprovincialis (Mediterranean mussel). Lineage: Eukaryota; Metazoa; Mollusca; Bivalvia; Mytilida; Mytilidae. The record is from RNAcentral.